This 682-nucleotide long non-coding RNA is filed under the name Equus caballus (horse). Its description in RNAcentral is "lncRNA (ENSECAG00000058798.1)". The record is from RNAcentral. Lineage: Eukaryota; Metazoa; Chordata; Mammalia; Perissodactyla; Equidae.
CUCCUCCCCUCCUUGCUCACCCUUCCAGAAGCCUUCUGGGCUGAUCAAUGAAGAGCUGGCAGUCCUCCCAUUAUCGCCUCUCUCUGACGUCUGUCUCAUUCCCUGCAUCACACAUCUUUGGCACGUGUUUGGUUUCAGCCACAGUUGUGGUGGACAAUCCCGUGUCAACCUCAUGCCGCCUCAAGGUGGCUGCUUUCUGCCCCAGGAGCCUCUCCAACAUCUCAGGAGCCUGUUUGGUCCAGCACACAGCCGGGAAGUGCAGGAGGCCACCUUCAGUCAGUGGGAGAUGGGACCCUGUGGAAAGAUGCUCCAGCCUCCUGUCCUUUGGAUGGACCACUCUGGGAAGCAGCCUGUACACUUCUCAGGACAUCCUGCCUACAGCGGCAACCUUGAUAUUUACCAAGGGUCUGCUGAGUGCUGAGGAGUGUACCACGGACUAGAAUGACAAGGAAGAAAGACCUCAGUAAUGCCUUAUAUGGGGUGGUAGGUGAGGCCUGGGGGAGCUUGGAAAGGAAUCAGCAAUGAAAACUCAUGCCACAAAUGCUGAAAAUGGGGUGCGUAAACCGAGGAUUCUCAAGGGGUAGAGAUCUGCUCAAGAUGACAUAGCUCGUAAGUGGCACGGUGGGGAUUUGAUUUGGAGUCCUGUGGCCCCAAAGCAGAGGCUCUCAACCCCGGCCAUUCG